CUGGUAGGCAAAUCCGCCGGGCUUAGAUGAGGGGUGAUAACGAGGCGGCUUGCCGCCGAAGUGAGUGAUACCCUGCUUCCAGGAAAAGCCACUAAGCUUCAGCUACACACGACCGUACCGCAAACCGACACUGGUGCGCGAGAUGAGUAUUCUAAGGCGCUUGAGAGAACUCUGGAGAAGGAACUCGGCAAAUUGACACCGUAACUUCGGAAGAAGGUGUGCCUUUAGUAGGUGAACCAGUACAUGGGGAGCCCAAUGAGGCCGCAGAGAAUCGGUGGCUGCAACUGUUUAAUAAAAACACAGCACUCUGCAAAGACGAAAGUCGACGUAUAGGGUGUGACGCCUGCCCGGUGCUGGAAGAUUAAAUGAUGGGGUGCAAGCUCUUGACUGAAGUCCCAGUAAACGGCGGCCGUAACUAUAACGGUCCUAAGGUAGCGAAAUUCCUUGUCGGGUAAGUUCCGACCUGCACGAAUGGCGUAAUGAUGGCCACACUGUCUCCUCCAGAGACUCAGCGAAGUUGAAAUGUUUGUGAUGAUGCAAUCUCCCCGCGGAAAGACGGAAAGACCCCAUGAACCUUUACUGUAGCUUUACAUUGGACUUUGAACAGAUCUGUGUAGGAUAGGUGGGAGGCUUUGAAGCGGUGCCGCUAGGUGUCGUGGAGCCAACCUUGAAAUACCACCCUGGUGUGUUUGAGGUUCUAACCUUGGCCCGUGAUUCGGGUUGGGGACAGUGUAUGGUGGGCAGUUUGACUGGGGCGGUCUCCUCCCAAAGUGUAACGGAGGAGUUCGAAGGUACGCUAAAUACGGUCGGAAAUCGUGUUGAUAGUGCAUUGGCAUAAGCGUGCUUGACUGCGAGACUGACAAGUCGAGCAGGUACGAAAGUAGGACAAAGUGAUCCGGUGGUUCUGUAUGGAAGGGCCAUCGCUCAACGGAUAAAAGGUACUCUGGGGAUAACAGGCUGAUACCGCCCAAGAGUUCAUAUCGACGGCGGUGUUUGGCACCUCGAUGUCGGCUCAUCUCAUCCUGGGGCUGUAGCCGGUCCCAAGGGUAUGGCUGUUCGCCAUUUAAAGAGGUACGUGAGCUGGGUUUAAAACGUCGUGAGACAGUUAGGUCCCUAUCUUCCGUGGGCGCUGCAAGAUUGAGAGAGCCUGCUCCUAGUACGAGAGGACCGGAGUGGACGCACCUCUGUGUAUCGGUUGUCACGCCAGUGGCAUUGCCGAGUAGCUAAGUGCGGAAGAGAUAACCGCUGAAAGCAUCUAAGCGGGAAACUCGUCUCAAGAUGAGUCUUGCCGGGGCCUUGAGCCCCCUGAAGGGUCGUUCGAGACCAGGACGUUGAUAGGCUGGGUGCGGAAGCGCAGUAAUGCGUUAAGCUAACCAGUACUAAUUGCCCGUGAGGCUUGACCCU
Molecule: ribosomal RNA, 1404 nt
Filed under: metagenome
Description: bacterial LSU rRNA
Rfam family: Bacterial large subunit ribosomal RNA
Source: RNAcentral